UCUGCCGAGGGGCGCUGCGACCGUCUAUCAGGGACGGCCAGGCUUGGCAGGAUCGAUCGAGACCAUGCACGGUCUCCAUCCGCUUCAACGGCGCCCGGUUGCG
This 103-nucleotide non-coding RNA is filed under the name Lysobacter sp. RNAcentral's name for it is "SAH sequence". It matches the Rfam family "SAH (S-adenosyl-L-homocysteine) riboswitch aptamer". Lineage: Bacteria; Pseudomonadati; Pseudomonadota; Gammaproteobacteria; Lysobacterales; Lysobacteraceae. The record is from RNAcentral. RNAcentral also lists the same sequence under 1 other name.